GACGAACGCUGGCGGCGUGCUUAACACAUGCAAGUCGAACGGAAAGGCCCUGCUUUUGUGGGGUGCUCGAGUGGCGAACGGGUGAGUAACACGUGAGUAACCUGCCCUUGACUUUGGGAUAACUUCAGGAAACUGGGGCUAAUACCGGAUAGGAGCUCCUGCUGCAUGGUGGGGGUUGGAAAGUUUCGGCGGUUGGGGAUGGACUCGCGGCUUAUCAGCUUGUUGGUGGGGUAGUGGCUUACCAAGGCUUUGACGGGUAGCCGGCCUGAGAGGGUGACCGGCCACAUUGGGACUGCGGUACGGCCCAGACUCCUACGGGAGGCAGCAGUGGGGAAUAUUGCACAAUGGGCGGAAGCCUGAUGCAGCAACGCCGCGUGCGGGAUGACGGCCUUCGGGUUGUAAACCGCUUUCGCCUGUGACGAAGCGUGGGUGACGGUAAUGGGUAAAGAAGCACCGGCUAACUACGUG
This 468-nucleotide ribosomal RNA is filed under the name uncultured bacterium. RNAcentral's name for it is "partial 16S ribosomal RNA". It matches the Rfam family "Bacterial small subunit ribosomal RNA", at positions 28 to 507 of the family's 1533-position model. The record is from RNAcentral.